Molecule: long non-coding RNA, 282 nt
Filed under: Phascolarctos cinereus (koala)
Lineage: Eukaryota; Metazoa; Chordata; Mammalia; Diprotodontia; Phascolarctidae
Description: lncRNA (ENSPCIG00000025218.2)
Source: RNAcentral
AUUAGUUGCAACAACAAAGAGCCUGUCACUACAGCUAAGAAAAGAAAAAAUUCCCAGUGGAACUCCUGUCAGAGGAAGUUGGUGUGGAGGCAGCAGGGGGAAAAGUGGACAGUGAAAAGAGCAUGGCAAGAGACUUUUGAGAGUCCUGAAAGAAUAAUGCAUGGAGUCAUCAUUUGAACCUUUGGAAUAGAAGGGCAUUGGCAUCUAAAGACCUUUGAGGGCUAAUUGUCAUCUAUGUGACUGUAUUUGGAAAAUACAAAACAACAACCACCAAAAAAACCC